Molecule: long non-coding RNA, 3097 nt
Organism: Phragmites australis (common reed)
Lineage: Eukaryota; Viridiplantae; Streptophyta; Magnoliopsida; Poales; Poaceae
Exons: 4
Source: RefSeq, a predicted model, not a curated record
UCAAACAUAACAGCCACACCGCCAGAAGGCCUUACGCAAUCCCCGCCACCCCUUCCCUGCCUCCUCCCCGCUAGGCCCGCCGUCGCCGCCGCCUUCUCCUCCCUCGUGCCACCGAUCCACGCCACUGCCGCGUCUCCCACGACCGCCGCUGUCAACGACCGAGCCACUCCCGCUGCCGCGUCUCCGACCGAAGCGCCGCGGUCGGGGAGCCCGCUGCCGCAUGUCUGACCGAAGCGCCGCCGUCGUCCCCGACCGCUCUGUCAUCGACAAGGACUCCGCCUCCCCCGGACGCCCUCUGGUCGCACGCCCGCUGCCGCAGUUGAUCUCCUCCAAGCCCUCUUCUCCCCCGAGCCCACCGCCGCAGUCGCCGCCGGUGCCUCCCUCCACCACCGCGGCGCUGCGCUUCGCCACCGCCUUCGUGCCCCCAGCAGCAGGAGGGGCGGCGCGAUCGGGGCAGGGGUGGUCGCGUGGUACCUCGGCUCGAUAAGGCGACGGAUCCGUCUCUCGCCGCGCUCGCCUAGCCAGACCUCCACGACGGCGCCGCGGCCGCCACCUGCCGCCUGGACGUCCACUCACUCCACAUCAUGGCUCUCGCAACUUGUUGCAUCCUCCUCCGUGUUGCUCGUAUUGAGUCUGCGCCGACCACCAUCGUGGAGCCAUGCCGUCCGCGCUCAAGGGAAGCCAGAUCCGGGCCUUCGUGCUCCUUCCACCGCCCCGCCCCAUCCCCCUCUCUAGCCCCGUUCUCGAACGCGGUCACCCCUACCCAGGUGAGAUCUUCUUCCUCACCGCAACACAACUCCUGUGCCACUGUGCUUGCUCCACCCAAGAUCCAAACUGGGCCAUGGUCACAGAAGGUUGUCGUGCGGCACGGCAGUAGCACAGGAGGGGUGCGGGGCGAAGGCUUCGGCACCGACGUCAGUGAAGACGGCUCUCUUCGUGGCCAUGCUAGCGGAGAAGACACAGCUCUACACGUGCUCAGAGGUCAUGGCCCAGCUUGCCUUGUCUUGCGUGGAUGCGUUGCUUCCGACGGACAAAUCUGCACUCCACCAACAUCCUCAGCGCCAUCACCUUAUCAACCACGAGUUGGAUAGCACAAAUAGAAGAUCAAUAGUGACAUUCUAUAGGACUAUUACGUCUCCUGUCAUACUGUGACCAAAUGGCAUUGUUUGGUGCCACAACGAUAUCCCAGUUCAAUUAGUUAAUUCACGUGCUGACUUUCAAAUUAUCGGCAGGUCACAUUGUCAUUGGAUGAUAAAAUAGUUUUGGCAUGCUUCUCUUUUAUCCUCAUCGGACUAAGGUGCCUUCAUUCUAAUCUUAAUACAAGAGAAACUCCUAAAAAUGCUAUCGAGUUUCAUGCGUGUUUGUAAGAAGAAUAGUUUUCACUAAGUUACAUAGUUUUGAACUUUAUUAUCAUCCAAUUUUGUUUCCUGUUAGUCCAUCUUUAGUCUGUGUACCAAUUUAUAGUUUUGGACUAACUCCUAUGAUCCAUGGUCCACAUGCAAAAAUUAUUCUACGCAUUGCCUCUGGUCUACACACAAGUUUAGCCAAGCCCAUUUAUUGCAAAAACAUGUUCCCAUUUGACCCUCGUGGAGUUGAAGCAGAUGUUCAUGGUGUUCAAAGGUUGUUAUUUAUCUAUUCUAAGCUUUCUAUCUUUUGUGCCCUUUGUACCAUAUUAAUAUAUCUGGAUUUGUCUUUUAUCAGAAAUUAACUCCUAAGUGAUGUUUUUCUUUCAUUUGUCAUGAAACAUUCUGGUCUCUGUCCACAGCAAAUAGCUCUAAAUAUUCAGACAAAGCUAUCCUGAUGAACUACUUUCUGUACUGGAGAGGCUAGGGCAUUUAAAAGAGUUACGAAACUCAAAUAUGCAAUUAUUUAGAGGAAGAGCCUAGGGAUUAUUGUGAUCCUUCGUGUUUGUUAAUUUUAAACAGAAAAUAAACAUGCUUGAUCAGAUCUACACACAUUGUUUCUGUUCUGAACAAUUAAACUGACAACAUGUUUGUUUCUUCUAUAUUAGUAUAUGCUCCAUUGUCCAAAUACUUGUUGUUUUGGGGUAUGGUGGAUGUGCUAUUAUUAGGGCAGUAUAAAUAUUUGGGGUUUUGUGAUAAUUCUUCAUGAAGAUCAAAUUUGCUAACACUUUGGUUUUCAGCCAUUUUUAUUCCAUUGUCCACUCUGAAGUAAUUAUGAAAAAUUAAUUAACAGGUUCUACGUACGCUUGUUUCUUAAGAAGUAAUAUAUAUAAAAUGAAUUAUGUGUACAGCCACAACAUACUUUUCUUACUCUUCUGAAGUGGUAGCCUGGUAGGUUUUGUUUAUCAUAUAUCUAUAUUACCAUUCUAGGUACAUUUCUGGAGAUGCUACUCCUAGCCUAGCCAUUCUCCAUCGACCAUUGAGCUCUCCUCCCUCCCUCUCUCUCAACUCAAUACUACAACUAAAAUUCAGUUGUGUUCUUAGCACAACUGUGCAAUCUCUUAUUACAACCAUGCAAUCUCAUAGAAUUGUUGCCUGGUAUUUCACUUAAUCAAUUUUCUAACUACAGACAUUUUAGUGAGAGAAGGAGAAAGGAAUUAGAAAGGGACAUCUCUGCACACACCAAAAACCAGAGAUGAUCGGACCAUGGUGUCACUUGUGUUUCCUUUACUCAGAAAAAUGGAUUGCAGUUGGUUAUACUACCAUAUGCUUUUCUGGUGGUUAUUAUUUGUGCCAGGUGUUCAAUUAUGCCAACUCUGUGACCUACAUGACGCUGCCACUCUUUGUUUAUAUUUGCAUUGAACACAUUUUCUGAUGAGGCCUCGGAGGCAAUGACUGCAUGGACAUUCUUAGCUAAUGACUGGAGUUGUAGCUGGCGGAGCAUGGUAUGUAUAGCAAGGCCGUUCGUUUCAUUACUAGCUAUCCAGAGGCUUAAUCUUUUGCAAUUUUGAUCUUACUGUAAUCUUGCUAAAUCAGUUGGAUGGAAGCAGCUGAGAGGAGCUUGAACAUAGUACUUCUCCAUGUAUUUGUGGUACUUUUUGCGUUCGUUCAUGCAUUGGUGAUUGCCUGCAGGGGAGGGUCAGGUAAUUAAAAAGGCACUUGUGACGAAUUAAUUAGAUUUGUUUGGACUCUGA